Molecule: unclassified non-coding RNA, 194 nt
Filed under: plant metagenome
Description: partial contains small subunit ribosomal RNA, internal transcribed spacer 1, and 5.8S ribosomal RNA
Source: RNAcentral
UUUCCGUAGGUGAACCUGCGGAAGAUUCAUUACAGAGUUCAUACCCCCCAAGGCAUACCUCCCACCCUUGUGUAUUAUUAGUUUGUUGCUCUCGCCAGCGCAAGCGCGCCAGAGAAUACCAAAACUCUUUUUAUUAAUGUCGUCUGCGUACUAUAUAAUACCUAAAACUUUCAACAACGGAUCUCUUGGUUCUG